GAGGUUUCUGGGAGCCAAGAGUGGUAAUGGCGUCUGUAUGAUCUUCGGAGCCUGCUGCAUCGGACCUCGGCCAGUCAUAAAAGAUGACAACAGCAGCCAGGCCAACCUUUGAACCUGCCAGAGGUGGAAGGGGAAAAGGAGAAGGUGAUUUGAGCCAACUUUCAAAGCAGUAUUCAAGCAGAGACCUACCCUCUCAUACAAAGAUAAAAUACAGACAGACUACUCAGGAUGCCCCUGAAGAGGUUCGUAACCGUGACUUCAGGAGAGAGUUGGAAGAAAGAGAGAGAGCUGCUGCAAGAGAGAAAAAUAGGGAUCGUCCAACCCGAGAUUGAUGUGAGCUGUACUACUUUCUUAGGUCAUUAGAGAUAAUAACAACAAAUAUUUACCAAAGGCUUAUUUGCCCAGGCACUGUGGAUGUGAGUUCACUGUGGAUAAUGCUUUUAAUGUGGGCUCCUUGUGCUCACAGGUCCCUAAAACAUUUUAAGAAAUGAAGUAUUUGUUUUACUAAGUUAAAUGAUUUUUGUUUCCCCCCAGAACAUACAACCUCCUCUUCAGUGUCAAAAAAGCCACGGUUAGACCAGAUUCCUGCCGCCAACCUUGAUGCAGAUGACCCUCUAACAGAUGAGGAAGAUGAAGAUUUUGAAGAAGAAAGUGAUGAUGAUGAUACUGCAGCUCUUCUUGCAGAACUGGAAAAAAUUAAAAAAGAAAGAGCUGAAGAGCAGGCCAGGAAGGAACAAGAACAAAAAGCUGAAGAAGAGAGGAUUCGUAUGGAAAACAUUCUGAGCGGAAACCCUCUCCUUAAUCUCACUGGCCCAUCCCAGCCUCAGGCCAACUUCAAAGUUAAAAGAAGGUGGGAUGAUGACGUUGUCUUCAAGAACUGUGCAAAAGGUGUAGAUGACCAGAAGAAAGACAAAAGAUUUGUAAAUGACACACUGCGAUCUGAAUUUCACAAAAAGUUCAUGGAGAAAUAUAUUAAAUAGUACAGUUUUAUGUGCUUAAUUAAAGACUGUAAAACGUAAAGGA
This 1023-nucleotide long non-coding RNA is filed under the name Homo sapiens (human). Its description in RNAcentral is "HSALNT0179915". The record is from RNAcentral. Lineage: Eukaryota; Metazoa; Chordata; Mammalia; Primates; Hominidae.